UACGAAGGGGGCUAGCGUUGUUCGGAAUUACUGGGCGUAAAGCGCACGUAGGCGGAUUUGUAAGUCAGGGGUGAAAUCCCGGGGCUCAACCUCGGAACUGCCUUUGAUACUGCAAGUCUUGAGUCCGAUAGAGGUGAGUGGAAUUCCUAGUGUAGAGGUGAAAUUCGUAGAUAUUAGGAAGAACACCAGUGGCGAAGGCGGCUCACUGGAUCGGUACUGACGCUGAGGCACGAAAGCGUGGGGAUCAAACAGG
Molecule: ribosomal RNA, 253 nt
Filed under: uncultured bacterium
Lineage: Bacteria
Description: partial 16S ribosomal RNA
Rfam family: Bacterial small subunit ribosomal RNA
Source: RNAcentral